Molecule: ribosomal RNA, 520 nt
Filed under: uncultured Glomus
Lineage: Eukaryota; Fungi; Glomeromycota; Glomeromycetes; Glomerales; Glomeraceae
Description: SSU rRNA
Rfam family: Eukaryotic small subunit ribosomal RNA
Source: RNAcentral
AGCAGCCGCGGUAAUUCCAGCUCCAAUAGCGUAUAUUAAAGUUGUUGCAGUUAAAAAGCUCGUAGUUGAAUUUCGAGAUCGGUUUAUUGGUCGUGCUAUUGUACGUACUGGUAUUACCGGUUUCUCCUUUCUGACGAACCUUAAUGCCAUUAAUUUGGUGUUUUGGGAAAUCAGGACUGUUACUUUGAAAAAAUUAGAGUGUUUAAAGCAGGCUCACGCUUGAAUACAUUAGCAUGGAAUAACGGAAUAGGACGUUUGAUUCUAUUUUGUUGGUUUCUAGGAUCGACGUAAUGAUUAAUAGGGAUAGUUGGGGGCAUUAGUAUUCAAUUGUCAGAGGUGAAAUUCUUGGAUUUAUUGAAGACUAACUACUGCGAAAGCAUUUGCCAAGGAUGUUUUCAUUAAUCAAGAACGAAAGUUAGGGGAUCGAAGACGAUCAGAUACCGUCGUAGUCUUAGCCAUAAACUAUGCCGACUAGGGAUCGGAUGAUGUUAAUUUUUAAUGACUCAUUCGGCGCCUUACG